This 25969-nucleotide long non-coding RNA is filed under the name Musa acuminata (dwarf banana). RNAcentral describes it as "long non-coding RNA (MACU_LNC007767)". The record is from RNAcentral. Lineage: Eukaryota; Viridiplantae; Streptophyta; Magnoliopsida; Zingiberales; Musaceae.
GCCAACUCUCUUGGACUUAUUGUAAUGGCGGUUAAUGCUUGACAAAGCAGAGGUUUCUUUUGAGGUUUAGAGUAAACAAGCAAGGGUAGCUAAUUUCAAUGUCACUCUUAAGUCAGAAAAAGCAACGGAACAAGCAAGGGAAAAAGAAUAAGCCAAUAAAGAAGCAACGGCGCUAUUUUCUUAAAACAAGCCCCGAGAGUAAGCUUAAGCUCCGUUUUGUUCAUCUCCUAAAUCAGAGAGAGGCCGGGUACACCGCACUCGAUUCCAUUCUUAAAGCAGCGGAACAAUACUAAGUGCUUAGGUAAAGAACAAUACUAAGUGCUUAGGUAAAGUCUGUUCCUGUCUUUCCGUGUUAGGAGUGAGUUGUGCUUUAGGGAGUUUGUAGAAACUUAUCUAACAGUGCUUGCUGUGCCUUAAUUCUAUUCUUUUGCGCUGUUCCUAAGGUGCACUCAAUGAUAUUCUCUUCUUCUGUGAGUAGAAUCUCCUCCAUAUUAUAGUGCUUAUUCGCAAGGAAGGGGUAGUUCGAAAGCAAGCAAGGGUAGAGUUCCAGUCCAGAGAUGCGCUUUUGUGUUAACGCCAUGAAUUACUAUAAGGAAGGAUAAGGGAUAAGGCCGGGGUUCCUCUAUUCUAACAAAAAGGAAGCAUUGGUGAUUGGGUGCGUUAGCGAGUUGAGUCCGGGGUGCUGGGACAAGUAGCGUCGAAAAGCAACAUUUGAUUCUUUGGGUUGCGCUGUAGUGAGUGGUGCGAACAACUUAUUUGAGUUUCGAGUUAGGUUACCACGGAGUAGGCAUACUAAUCUCAUGACUUAAUAGUCUUUUAACUGUGUCUAAUGAAUUAAUAGUCUUUUAACUGUGUCUAAUGAAUUAAUAGUCUUUGGCCGAUAUGAAACAAGUAAACGAGCAAGAGCGAAAACACACUUUAGGCAGUGGUGAGAUUACCUUCAGACAGAAGUGGUGCACUCUCUCUUCCAUAAGUGAAAGAACUCAAGCUACCCAUAUUGACACUAAGACCCAUAACGCGCGCAAGGGAACAAGAGGUAAUUGUCACUUAGAAUAGGCGCUUUAAAGUCAAGGCAAGGCAAGGGAACUUUACUUGUGCGUUAGCUUACUUUCUGGGUUGUGUGGUAAUCUUAUAUUCUUUCUGGUUUUGAAGCGAAGGAGGGAGUUUACUGGUUUCUAUCAUAUGCGCUAUCUAGAUGAAAUGAGACAAGCAACAGAACAAGAAGACUACAUGUUUGCCCAAUAAGCUAGGGCGCUAAGAACAAACGCAGUGAGAGUAAGCUGUUAGGUUCCUUACUUAGUUGUCAGUGAGAUGAUUGAAUAAACAAGCAAGUCUACGAGUUCCAGAAGCCAAAGUCAGUGUGUAAGAGCUCCCGUUGUUUGUUUGUUCCGUUGCAGAAGCCCUUAUUUCCCUUUAUCACUCAUAUCAUCUCAUAUCCCCGGAAAGUCAAAGAAUAGAGAUAGGAUAGGCACAGUUCAGUUGCUUAUAGAAGAUUGGCACCCAUCCAUUAUAGAAAUAAGGAAUAACACUGCUGACUGCAAUGAACGAACAGAGAGAGUACUUUAUAGCUUUACUAAUAUAUCCAUUAGCAAGUUCUUUUACACUCCCCCAAACAAUAAGACUCACGUUAGCGCCCUGAACCUUUGCUUUGCUUUCCUUUCCGAACCCUAGUAUACUAGACAAGAGUACUAAUUUCUUAUUGCCGUAGCUUAAACUCACUUAAGCACUAGCGCAUUGGUAUUUCUAUCAUCAAUUCUACUUUACUGGAUUUGAAUACUUUCUUUCACAGCUUCUUUAUAGGUGGUUACUACUUUCUACUUGAUACGAGACUUUAGACUUCUACAGCAUUAACAACUAAGUAGGCAGAGUUGGGCCGGUUAGACUUACCUUCUCACUAUAUAGAAUUGAACCUCUCUGGUAUAUGAUAUAAUCUUGUAAUCUGGAACCUAACAGCUUGUUCGAGCUCGCAACGUCUUGCACAACACCACUAACGCCCAACGGCCGAGCUCACGUAAGCGCUACUUUACUACAAAGCUUGUUCAUUGCUAAAAAAACCUUAUUGUGACCUUGCUUCUUCCUUUCAUAAAAUCUAUCUCUUGCAUAUAACUGAUAUGAAUGAUUUUAGUGCGCAUAGCAUAUAAGUGAUUCAUUUUUAUUGCAGCGCCCAUAAGAGAGAGGAAUAGAAAUACACCUGACCUUAACUCUAUGCUUUCAUUUGCUUACUGAAACUCUAUAAUCGAGUAACAACACUGCUGACAUAUUCCAAAAAUCACUCAUAUUGGGUCGGGGCACAGUUCCAUAAGAAAAUACGAUAACAGUGUUGAGCUGUUUCAAAUACUAUACUGAAGGAAUAUGGUUGGUUAGCGCUUUCUUUUCUUGGUCUUCUAUCUGAAGGGUCUUCCAUCUGUAUAGAAGCUGUUGAUGCAAUAAUGGGUGUUGUACGCCCUUGACUCUAUCCCUAACCAUUGAGAGUGAGGCACCUUCUCCAUACUAUACUGUUACUUGCCCUAACCAUUGAGUUUAGGCAUCUUCUCCAUACUAUACUGUUACUUGCCCUAACUAUUGAAUAUUGGCACCUUAUAGAAACUAUACUGGAACUUGGCGCCUACACUCGAACUGGAAAUCAAUCUACUUCACUACUUACCGCUUCAGAAGGGUAUUCUCCACUACUACUAAGGUAAAGGCAAUCAGUCCAAUCACCUUUAGCGUCGCCAACACCAAGAUACCGCACUGCCUCUGAUCCAACUUCCAUACCUUAUACAGAUAUAGCUUGUUCUUUUGCUCGGAUAAGAGUUAGUUGUUUCUGCGAGAGAGGAGAGGUCCAGUCCAAGUUGUCAAUCAAUUGAAAAGCCCUAAGUUGUCCCCCCAAGCAUUUAAGGUGGUUAUUCCAGUUUGUUUUUGGCAAUCAGAUCUUCAUGACUAAAUGAUUUUCCUGGUUAACUCGGCGCUAGGCUAGAUGAAAUUCCAUAUUAUUGGUAAGGGAUCAACCAAGAGCUGGAUAUGGAGUUUGAUAAAGUAAGUCAGCAUAAGCAAGAGUAGGAGUAGUUAAAGAAGAUGUUUCUCAUGGUCUUGGUCAUAAGCGGGAGUAGGUUCAUAAAGUGUAGUUCCAGUUGCAAGAUCAAUCAGGUGAGGAAUCCGUUCAAGUUCUAGGAUCGGAGGCAGGUCCUACCCUUAAGUAAUUGGUGGAAUCUACUCCACUAAGAAGAAAAAGACGCUAAAGGAUCCGCAGGAGCAGGAUGAGGCCCAGUAUCAAGUCUAGACUUAAUGGCAUAAGAACUUAGAAGCGGUUUUUCGAGUUUUGUAUUUGUUAUUACUGCUGAUGUCUUCGCAUACUAUACCUUAUUAAUAAGAAAUUGAAUCACUGUUAACAUUAAUAAGCAAUUGACAUACCUCUAAGCCUACUGCUCCUUGGUUUGAUUCUAUCUUUUCUUGCUUCUACGCCUUAUUUCAUUAAGUUAAUUAACUGCCUUAUUCCAUUCACUUUAUUAACCUUAAAUGAAUUCUCCUGUUCGCAUAUAUUAAUGAUUCCCAUUCACAAUAGAUGCCUACCCGGUCCACCAGCACCUUACUACUGGUCUGUGACUCCUGGGCUUAUUUCUGUAUUUGCUUAUUACGUGCUUGGUGCUGUCCUUCUUUUAUUCCCGGGUUUCUAUUCUCAUAGUAGUUGCAGUUGACUUAGAAAGGGAUCUUUACCCAUUAAUUGAUUUCUUGAAACUCAAACAUAGGUAUCGGAUCGGCAGUCCAAGAAUCAAAGUCCGUAGUUCGAGCCUUGUUAGCGGCUAGAUCAAUUCACACUUAUGAAUCAAAUCCCUAGUUGUCGACUUGGGUGCUAAGAAAGGAAACACACUAUACUCUACUCGGAGAAUAAGGAUUUGGAGAGGAAAGUAAAGUACUAAUUUCAUGGAAUGGAAUGGAACUAGCAAAUCAAAGAAUCGAAUUUCUGAUUUCAAAUGUAUGUACAAUACAAGAAGACUAAACUCCCUUGACUUAAUAUAAGGGCAAGUUGAUUUCCCUACCUGAGUUACUGAGCAAGAGGCGAGGUCAAGUACUGGCAAGGAAGCGAGGUGUAACAAAAGAAGUAUAGUUUCGUUCGGAUAGCCCUGUUUAUAAGGUAUGCAGUGCUAGGAAAGAAGCCCAGAGCGGAGCGAGUCUUCAAGGGAGAUAAGAAGUAUUUGUUGACUUAGCUAUAUCAUAAUAAGGAUCAUCGGCUGGGGGUGGAUCAGGCGAGGAAGCUGGAAGUUUCGUUUAGUUCGGGUUACUUUCUUUUAUGUAGUAAGUAGGGUGAGUUGGUUCUUAAAGCUGAGUUCGCUAGUCUUGUCAGGGAAUCUAUACAGCGGAUGUUUACUCGGAUGCUCUACCUAUUACAGCUGACUCUAUUACCCCACGUAGCAGAGCAGUAAGCGCGGAAGAUAGUAUUGGCUUUGAAGCGGUAAGUUGAGUUUCGUCAUGAUUUCACUUCGGAUCAAAACUAAGUCAAUAAAUAAGUAGGUUAUUAUGUUGUUUGGUUCAUAAAUCUAAGUGUAGUUCGCCGUAGUAGCUCGUAUAUCGUUGAGUAUACGUUAGGGAAUCAAAGGCUAAAGUCAGUACAGCAACCGUUAAGUCGACAAGUUCAGAAGCUAGUGAAAGAGUCAGUUUCAAUAAAAUCCGCAGUUGGGUAUCCAAGGUAUCCAAAGUUUCCAGUUUCAAGUCGAGUUCCUUUUCUUUCUCCUAGCAACGUUGAAACCUGUUCUUUACUGAUCUGUAGGGCUACGUUUGUUAAGACAGUGGAGUUCUUAGUUAAGCUAGUUUAGUAUAUAAGGGGUCAAGGGUAAUAAUCAAUCUCAAGAGGAAGGGUGCGGUUUUACAAGUGACUAUACCUUACAAGUGACUAUACCUAGUGCUCAAUAAAAGAGUCAAGAUUAACUGAAGUAGUGUUCGAGACCCUGCUUGCCGUGGAGAAUAUCCAGUUUGAGUUGACAGAAACAGUCCUUGCAUAAGCUUCUGCUACUACCACAUAAAGGUUAAUCCAAGCACUACUAUACUAGGUCAAGUCAAGUCGGAUGCAAAGAUUGGUUCAGUUGGUUUUAUUUACAGAUAAUCUUUACUAAUGGGAGUGGAGAGGACUAGUUUUAGGUGAAGGAGUUNNNNNNNNNNNNNNNNNNNNNNNNNNNNNNNNNNNNNNNNNNNNNNNNNNNNNNNNNNNNNNNNNNNNNNNNNNNNNNNNNNNNNNNNNNNNNNNNNNNNNNNNNNNNNNNNNNNNNNNNNNNNNNNNNNNNNNNNNNNNNNNNNNNNNNNNNNNNNNNNNNNNNNNNNNNNNNNNNNNNNNNNNNNNNNNNNNNNNNNNNNNNNNNNNNNNNNNNNNNNNNNNNNNNNNNNNNNNNNNNNNNNNNNNNNNNNNNNNNNNNNNNNNNNNNNNNNNNNNNNNNNNNNNNNNNNNNNNNNNNNNNNNNNNNNNNNNNNNNNNNNNNNNNNNNNNNNNNNNNNNNNNNNNNNNNNNNNNNNNNNNNNNNNNNNNNNNNNNNNNNNNNNNNNNNNNNNNNNNNNNNNNNNNNNNNNNNNNNNNNNNNNNNNNNNNNNNNNNNNNNNNNNNNNNNNNNNNNNNNNNNNNNNNNNNNNNNNNNNNNNNNNNNNNNNNNNNNNNNNNNNNNNNNNNNNNNNNNNNNNNNNNNNNNNNNNNNNNNNNNNNNNNNNNNNNNNNNNNNNNNNNNNNNNNNNNNNNNNNNNNNNNNNNNNNNNNNNNNNNNNNNNNNNNNNNNNNNNNNNNNNNNNNNNNNNNNNNNNNNNNNNNNNNNNNNNNNNNNNNNNNNNNNNNNNNNNNNNNNNNNNNNNNNNNNNNNNNNNNNNNNNNNNNNNNNNNNNNNNNNNNNNNNNNNNNNNNNNNNNNNNNNNNNNNNNNNNNNNNNNNNNNNNNNNNNNNNNNNNNNNNNNNNNNNNNNNNNNNNNNNNNNNNNNNNNNNNNNNNNNNNNNNNNNNNNNNNNNNNNNNNNNNNNNNNNNNNNNNNNNNNNNNNNNNNNNNNNNNNNNNNNNNNNNNNNNNNNNNNNNNNNNNNNNNNNNNNNNNNNNNNNNNNNNNNNNNNNNNNNNNNNNNNNNNNNNNNNNNNNNNNNNNNNNNNNNNNNNNNNNNNNNNNNNNNNNNNNNNNNNNNNNNNNNNNNNNNNNNNNNNNNNNNNNNNNNNNNNNNNNNNNNNNNNNNUUGACCAUAUUCUAGUAAUCUGGUUCUGGUUGCUCCCACCUUAGAAUUCGUGAAAUUAGUAGUUUGACUCAUCCCGUUACUUGUUCAAUAAGCGUAGUUAGUGUCCCGAAGAAAAAAGUAAGCGUAAGCUGAAGAAAAGACUUGCACAAGAAACUUUUGAUACCUAACUGAAGUCAGAUCCAGCUUAUUAUCUUGUUGACUUCACUCGCCCUACUUCCUUAAAAGAUGAAACUCCAACUUAGAUUUAAGAACCGACAACACUGUCAAUGGUACAAGCACCCGACCCGACCCCAACUCAAACAAGCAAUCAAGUUUUCAAGUAAGUAAGUUGACUUAUUGCUUUGGAGGAACUUUAUUACUGCUAUUCUAGAAGUACUUUAUUUGAGUGUAAGCGGACUUGGACCACUACUCUACAAGGAGAGGGAAACAAACCAGUCAAUCAGGCUAAGGUAAAGCCUAUUAUAGAAGCACUAACAAAGGGAAAGCUGUCAAUCAGGCUAAGGUGUAAGUUUCAAUCAGGCUAAGGUAAAGCCUAUUAUAGAAGCACUAACAAAAGGAAAGCUAUGUGUAUCUUGACUCCAUCUUCUAUACCGGGGGUACAAUAAAAGAAAUGAAUGUUUGACUCGGCGUGUUAUAAGUUGAGUUUGCGAGAUGGGCUGUUUUUGACUUGUGCUAAUAGAGUGGAGCUUCAUCUAGCGUUAGGAGAGUUCGCGAAAGCCCUUGUGCGUGGAGAAGAUAAGUUAUGGGCUUUGGUUCUAAGUCAGAGGUCAGUGAGCUACUGGAUAACAUUCCUACUUUAUGGGCGGGUUAGAUGGAUUCCAUUCAUGUUUGUUCGAUUGAUUAGCCUAAACCUUGUCCCAACAAGACUAGGUGCGCUUAUCACUCUUUUACCCACUAGCUGUGUUGGUGAGUGAGAAAGAAGGGUUGAUAGUUGUGUUGCCGGUUCAAUAACAAGUAGAGUCAGUUCGGGUGCAAAGCAAGACAAGAUGGAUUCCAGGGCCUGGCUUAUCCGAGACAGCCUUAUGGUUAUGGCUGGAACCGGCCUUGCUAGGCAUAAAGUCAGUAUGAUUCUUUCUCUCUCUCUUGCUUGCCUGCGGGCUUGAAACCAAACGAGUAUAGGAUUUCUUUCAUGCCUGCUAUCCAAUCAACGCUCAUAAUCUGUUCCAAAGAGAAAAUAACACUUUAGAGAACCAAAUGAAAAAGACGAUUAAAGCAAACUGCAGCUUUUACUAAAUAAGAUAUAUAUCCUUGAAACUGGUAGUGGACCGAGCCCUAACUUCUUCCCUCCCUAUAGCUUCGCUCGAUCGGAAUGAAAUCCUCUUAUCCUUAACAGCUAGCUACCCAUCUGCAUUUACAUGAGCCGAAAACUGGACUCGACUCGCUCUUAACUCAUACGUCACGUAAGCACAACGAACAAGAACAAUAAAACAAACAAUAGAAUGUUGAUUCCUAAGAAGAGAUAGAAGGAAUCCAGUAAACUAACUGCUUACUUACAUAUAAUUAGAAUAUGAUAGCGUGACCAAUAUCUAGUCAGUGACACAUGAUAGAAAUGGAGUAAUAUAACACACUGCGCGACAUAGAGAGUAUAGAUAUAAGAAAUUAGUAAACAAUCACUCGAGACUCACUUUUGGAUUGAAUCUCUCUCGCUUAGUUCGAAAAGGAGAUCUAUCUCGCUAAGUAUAGGAUAAAGUCACUUAGAACCUCGUAUAGAAUCCAGUCACUUAGAAACCCGACCCCUACAAGGAGAUCUAUCGCUAAGUAUAGAAGAUCAAUCAAGUCACUUAGAACCUCUAAAUAGUAGUGCACACACCCUUUGUAUAUAAGAGUGCACACAUCCCUUGUAUAUAAGUCAGAUUUGGAAGAAUGUAGCGGUCAUCCAGAGAAGAACAUUACUUUUGAUAGAUUAUUAGAUACUGAAGUUAACCACUCACUACUGAUAGAAGAAUGGAAUAACAUGACUCUCCACUCUGCACUUAUGGAAUGGGAGAUAGUGCACACCCAAUAUAUAGAUUCUAGUUAAUUCCCACCUAUAAGAAUAUGAUUGACUAUUCUGCUCUGCACGAGCUUCUUUCUACGCUACGUUACUAUCUACGCUACUGCUCUCUGCACGAGCUUCUUUCUACUAUCUAUGUUACUGCUCUGCACGAGCUUCCUUCUAUGCUACGUUACUAAUCUACGCUACUUCUCUUUCUUGCAUUAACAACCAUUAACCAUAAUAAACCAGUGAGACUUAUUUCACUUAUACUAAUACUGACGUUGUGAAGCAGUGCUUUCUGAAGUGACUUGCUUAUAUCAUAUGCUACACUGAUGUAUUGGUUUACAGGCCUGGCCCGGACUUCUUAAUGGUUGGUAGCUUGAGAAGUCUCUUGUAUCUCGCGUAUCCUAGAUUCUGGAGUCUUGAAAUCUCUUGUAUCUCGUGUAUCCCCUAGAUUAUGGAGUCUUUAAGCAAUGCUGCUAGUCAAGAAGCAAAGCAGUGUGUUUUACUUGACUUAAUUCAUUAUAUAUAUGUGUGUAUUUGUUCUCAAUUUCGGAUUUCUAUAUUAACUGUUUCCUGAGCACUUUCCCUAUUUAUUGUAAUGUUUGCAAGAGAAGUAACAAGUAGAAGGUCAAGUUUCAAGUCGAGUAUAAAGAAAGGAAGCAAUGCAGUCAGCAGUUUUAUAGCGCUUAGAGGCAUUAGAUUAUUCAGGAUUAAUGCAGUUUCGCAGUCUUUUGUUCCUAUAGCAUAUGUGACUUCAACUCAGUAAGGAGUAAAGAGUUGGAUUGAAAGUGUAGUCUAUGAGAUAUGUUAUUGGCGCGAGUCUACACUACGAUAGAAUCAUAAGUGUGAGUUGAUGUUGAAAGUCCAGGAGAAGAAGACUGAUUAGAAGCUGUUCAAUUGUCAGCAGCAAGUAGUUCUUCUUAAAGUGUAGUUCCAGAUUCCAGGAGAGUGAAAGAAGUAGAAGAGAAUGCUUACCUAGCGCUUAAGGCUAAAGAAGAAGCUAGAUCAGAUGCGGGUGAGGAAACAGGCCCAACAUAUGAAAGCAGUAAGAGUGAAGUCGUAGAGAUCAGAAGCUUGCUUGAUCCGUAGUUUUAUACCUAGUGCUCAAUAAGCUUUCAAUUCCAUUCAACACUUGGAGGAUAGGUUGCCAAAAGGUAAUAAUCCACUUUGCUACUGGCACUCGCACCGCCCUCACUUCACUCCACUACUUCGAGCUCCAACAGAAUAUCCGGCUUUUAGCUAAGUUGAACCUCUGUUCCACGACAUUUUCGCUUAUAAUCUUUCAGGUUCCUUCCCGCUUGCUUACUUUGUCUCCGGGGAGUAUACUCUCCUGUUACGUCAUUCUCUACUGAGCUUGCUCUUUCUUAUCUAGAUUCAAUGAUUUCUGCUCCUGCUCCGCCAAGCUACUACUGUAGUAUAAAGUAGUAUAACCUAUUUGUUAAGCAAUGAUCAAUAUGACACUUGGAUCUUUCGAGUCCUGUUCUAUGCCCAACAACUAUUCCAGUUUUCGCUAUUCCUGUUUUCGGAGGUUUAGGCUCAAUCAAUUGAAACCCCCCGCCAGUCUAGUGACCAGUCUAGGCCUAUAAACAAUGAUUUGUCUAGGUUAGGAUACUUUGAUACAUUGAUUCACUUACCGCUUACUUGCGCACUGCCUCUAAUCCUUCAUCUGAUCCUGCCCCAGCUCCAUCUUUUGCUGAUGAUCUUGUUCCUACUUUGAUCCUUAUUCUACAGGAGCUCACUUUAGACUUACCUCAAUUCCAUUCCUAGUAGUUAGGUUAGGAUCGACCUCGCACCAGACGCUAUGCCGCGCUCUUCUAUCAAGUUCAGAGCGCGCCUCCGCUUUCACUGGAAGGCUACCUGAGAGAAAAAACAAACCUGUGCCAAAUAAACGAAAACGAAUGCUCUUUCUCAUUUAACGAUUGGCUUUGUGUUAAGUAAUACCUCCCUACCGUAACCAAGCACACCCACGGCCUUCUUUGGAAAGGAUUCAGAUUUGUUCAACAUUCCUCGCUCACUCGGACAACCCCACCCGGCAGCCAUUCGCUCACAGAGCUUCGCCUCACUUGCAAACGACCGUUCACAUGGAUGAACUAGUAUAGUAUAUAUAUAUAUCAAUAGUUUUUUCUUAUGGUUAAUCUAUAUAUAAUAGAACUAAUGUAUUAAACAAUCAAGAGAGUGGAUUCAUCCUAACCUAUCGAACAAGAACAGCCAUUGAUGCGGGCCAGCAACCAAAGAGAUAGAACCGCGUCUUCUUAUUCCACGAAGAUUCAGACAAAAACCGAGCUUGGAUAAAACAGGGUCAAGAAAUAGCUAGGCUUACCACUAAUAGAUUUGGUUCUUUCUUUGUCCUAAGUCGGUCAUUAAAGGCCGAAAUCUAUGAGUUGUUGUUCCCUUUUCAAGUAUUUCUGGCUAUAUGGAAAAACUGCAAUUGAUCAUCGAAACCUUCUCUGCGGAUGGAGACUCAAAAGAUGGAUUCGAUAUUUCACGACCAGCCCACAUCAGGAAAACAGACUCCUUUGUGAGCCAGUUAGCCGACGGGGCGAGUCUCCGAAAGUGGCAGGUGUUACCCGGAGUUACUAUGUGGGUUUGCGCUUCUCUGAAAAGACUGGCACAAGGAUCGAAUCGAGCUAAUUCCCUUUCUGGGGAUUCACACCUAUGUAAUAGCAGAAGAAAGCAAAGGCCAAGCAACUACUUUCGAAUUGAACUAGGCUGAAACAAGCACUGUGAAUUCUAUUGUAAGACUUAACAAGCUGUUCAAGAAGAUAAGCGUGUCUGCUAGCGAGAAAGAGGGAAGUUUCUUCUUCAAGUAAGGAGCAACCAAGCAACUUCCUUGAGAGUUCCUGUUAUUGGCUCAUUGUCUACAAGAGAGGGAUCCGAGGCAGUGGAGGCAGUAUCAGAGGCAGUUCGUAAGGAAGCCGCAAGUGGAAAGUCUCAUUCCGUUAUUGGUGUUAGUGCUUCUGUAACUGGAUACUUUAGUUCUUAUCAAAUGCCUACGAUGUGUUGGGAAUGGGAAGAAAGAGACAUAACCGCGCCUAACUCAGUUAAUUAAUAACUUAGCUACUAGGCAAUAAGCUAUAAGAACAGGUUAUUACCAAUAUUCUGCAUUGUAGUAAAGUAGAAAACUCCAUUCUGAAAGGAAGGAAAGAGCAACCAAGCAGACCCUCUCACGCCAACACAUUCCCUUAAGGCUAAGACUAGUUUACCCCUAGUAUAUCUAUCUUCUUCUCUAUUCUCUACCCAUCUUUCUUGACCUAUCUUUUGACCCUAUUCUUAGAACUGAGAGCAGUAGGGCGAUACAGGCUAGUAAUGACUUUGCAAUAGAAGUAGGUGAGCAAUAGGGCGAUACAGACCAGUAAUGGAAUUGAAUGCACUUCACUUCAUAUAGAGCUAAGUCACUUCAUUAUAGAGCUAAGUCACUUCAUUACAAAAUACCGAAAGUGAGUUUGCCGGCGCAAGAACCAGUGAUAGAGUUCCUGAAACCGACGAACAGUUGUUAUAUUAAAUACAAUACCAGAGUUAGAUGAGCUAUUCUUAUCAGUAUUAAUAAUAAGAAAUAAGUAUAUAAGAAAUCCGUAUUAAUAAUCAGAAAUAAGUAAAAGUCAAUUGAACUUGUAUAUAAGGGGGUGUUUGUCUAACUCGAACAGUAAUUGACUGAAACUCCUAUCCUUCGUUAGCGCCUGCACCCGCACUGCUCACUUUAGCCUCUGAUUCUCACGCUUCUUACUUGAAACUGGAAUCCAUCAGCUUGGCACCUACCCCUGGAAACUCUAAGAACUCCGCUGGGCACCUCUACAAGUCAAUUAACGUACUUGUUCUUGCCCGAACUCUAGUUUUAGAACUGCUGGCUGCUGACUGACUUUCAACAACAGCGCUCGUAGCUGACUGACUUUCUACAACAUCACCGCUGUCAGCUUAUGAACCUUUAAAAGCUUCUUCAACUAGAAAAGGCACUGGUAUACCGAUCUCCUAUCCUGGGUCUCCCUAUCCCCUAUCCUGGGUGUUACCUACUGGAUUUCCCUUUCUUCUCUUCACCCUGAAACAAUACCACCAGCUACAGCGGGACAACCACUUGAGACUUGACCUCGAGGAGUCUCUGGGAACUCAGGCUCCCAUCUAUACCUUAGAUUCUAACUUGAGAGCUCAGCAGAUGAGGUUCGGGGGUCUCAUUCAAAUAGAAUAAUAAUAUAGAUGUGGGUGCCUCGCCUAGUAAGGGUGCCUAACCUGAUUCCGCCCGCCAAGCAAAUCUCUCUUGUUUUUCUUUUUCCUUUACCGAUCCGCUUCUAUAUUCUAUAUAUGACAAAACCAGAACUACACUUGCAGAACCGUUUGAUGCUUACCCCUUAACUGACUUAGAUCCGUGUAGGCUAUCCGAACUCCACUUUCAUAACCGAUGGCUGCUUCCUUGCGCACAAGCCAAAGAAUAAACUGAGAUACUGUGACACUGACACACUUGUUCUUACUGGGCAUUAGAAUAUUAGUUCUUGCUAGACAUAUAAUGUUUCUUCUUGCUUGCUGGGCAUAUAAUGUGUUUGUUCUUGCUUGGGUAUCUAAGAUUGGAAUUGAUUCUUUCGAUUCGAGCGGCGUAUCGCAUUAACCUAGCAGUAGGGUAGUAAACUCAUCAUUGCAUUAACCUAGCAGUAGGGUCACUAAUCAUUAUCUAAUUGUUUGUUUAUUAUAUAAUUGUUUGUUUCGAGCUUCGAGUAAACCAGGAAACCAAGGAAUUGAACAUAUCAAUUGAACAGCCCCUUCCUCACGCGUUAGGCAGCUAAAGAAGAUAAGACAAGAAGUAGAGUGUGAUUGAUUGUUAGAAUGUUGUUCCAGAGGUCGACCACAACUCGGUUAAGGGUCAAUUUCUCCAUUCGAGUCUAGAUGAUAUAUACUGUAUUCUUCCCUACUCCUUAAGAGGAAAGAGAUGUUUAACACACCGCUACGUCCACAUGGGCGUGAUCUUCGGCUUGGGUGGGCUUGGCUUAUUCAUCAUAGGAUCCAAAAGUGGAUAAUACGGAUGUCGAACUAUACUUUAUUAACCGAUAUUUGAGUCUUCUCAAGCACCCGACCCGAACUCCACUAGAUUCUGUUCUUUGCCUUUGUAGUGGUAGCUUUUCUCUUGCUCUAGUACUGUUGCUUGGCCCGCGAACUCAAUCUAUUCAAGUCUUGGCUGACGGGUUCAAAGAAAAGAAAGUCAGGACGAUUCUCAGUGCCGUGUUCUGUAUUUUAUUCGAAAUCGGAGCGAGUAAGGGUGUGCAUGGGUACCGACCGACAUCCGUUGCCUGAUGGUAGGAUCUAUCUUCUGCGCUAUCUUUGUAUAUAUGCUUCGGUCCCUUCCCUAGACCUACGCUACUAGUUCUAUUUUCAUUAAGCCGAAUCAUCAGAGGAAUCUUAGGUACUAACUCUAUGUUUACCUGAGAAGGAGAAAGAGUCCGGCAAGAAGCCUUAUUCCUAAUGGUAAGAAAAAGGGACCUAAAAGAAGGUGGGGCAGAGAACACCGUGCAUGAAGCAAGAGGUCGUAUACGUCUAGGGGGACUCCCAAUAAACAAUAGAGUGGAAGCGACGUAUACCUGAGUAUACCGAUGCCGAUGGAUUUCUUUUUCUAGAGAUUUCCCGUAGAAUAGGUUCUCCUUAGUUUGCUUUUCCCGAUAAGAGAGAAAGGGAUGCCUAUAUCGAUCGAUUAACAUAAGGCUUUAACAAGGGUUUCCCGACUUCUUUAUGUCCCCGAAAGGAAAGCUUAGCUAGAGGGAUCUCGUUUACUCUUAUGAGGAUUGUUUUUUCCUUAUAGCAUGUUAUACCCCAGCCUAACUUGACUUUUCUUGUUAGUUCAAUUCACCGAUAGCGAUUGGAUUGUGGUCCAUGGUGGAUAGACGGGGCAAGGACGAGUCCAGCCCUACCACUUGACUAUCCUGAACAAAAGCGCACACUCUAAAGUCAGUCCUACAAUAGGGGAGGACCCAUUGAUCCUUCCAAAACAUAUGUUGGUGUGGGUAGUGCCAUUGAUUAUGCCGAAUCCAGAGAUAGAGAUGAACUUAUCAUUUCCAAUAGUUAGUCCUUUCUCCUAGGGGCAGCAGGAAUUCCUCUAUUUGCAGUUGGCGGUGGAGCUGCCAGAAUGGAUUUCGGGAAAGGCUUUCGUAAGCGCGCCUCUUUGUGACCUUUCAUCCUUGUGAUCUUGUUGUCAAAUAUUCUAAAGUAGAACGAACUUCUCAAAUAGGCUAGCUUCGUCGUCUAUUCUCGGGGAUUUCUCCUAAUCAGCUGCCGUUCUUGAAGGUAUCUCAAAAGAGGAUGCUUUGGCUAAACCCACUUUCCCCAAAAAGAAAGACAGAUAGUUUGGAAAGAAAGAGAGUUUGUAAUAAGCAAGUAAGCUCGCCCAUUUGAUAAGUCAACUGAGAACAAAACCAGAUUGGAGAAACUUUGGAUCUGAAAGUCAGAAGAUAGGAAUGGAUAGUCAUUCACUCUCCGUUUGUUCCAGCCCAGCAAGGGUGCGAGUGAGCAGGCCAGGCUAAUAGUUGGGCAUUCAACGCGGAUACAAAUAAUAAAAGACGAGGUAAGAUUCUUUUCUGUUUAACAGCCCCGAGUUCACAGGUUAUGCCAGUACAGUAAAGAAGAGAUGGUUUGCUAAUUGGAUAAUCCUACUAAUAUAGAAAGAUUCACGUGCGAAGUGACGAGCGAAAGGCUAUAUUUCCUAGAGAAAUCAAACACUGUAACUUUCCUGUGGGCCGGGAUCAAAAAAACACCUAAGCUAAAAAGCAUCAAACCGCAUUUAUGGAGAAAAAUCCGUUUCAUUGUCUGGACAACUCGACGAGUCCAAUUACUAGCUUCUCUAGCCUUGUAUGCUUUUCUAUCUGAAAUAUCCUGCCCUUCUUUCUUCUUCCCAUUGCAGGCACUGCACACCUCUUAUAUUAUAGGAAGCUCCAAGAAUGAUUUCUUCUUAUUAAAGUAGCGAGUGUAUGGAGUUCUUCUUUUGUUUGACCUACUCGGGGGGUUUCCUUUCCUCGACUUUAAGUGUGGAAUUGCUGGAGUAUAUAUAUAUUUGUAUGAGUAAACAAGCCUACUUCCCUUUCUUUUUCAUCAUAUGACUGGGGCUUGGCAUCCCUUUAGCGUUACGUUACUUCCGAACUAUCCUUUACGCUUGCACCUGUGCUUAGUUCUCGUCUGCCCUGAACCCUGUCCUUAACAUCCGCCAAAAAGAGUAGUUUCCUUUCCCUUCACCCAGCUUUCGUAGACAUUCUUUAUUUCCCUUAACCCAGCUUUCACUUCAUCUUUCUUGCGCCUCAACAAAAACUACUUCACUGAAUCCUUUCACUUGUGCAGCUAAAGUCAACCGGGAAUCUCUUUCUUUCGAGCGGCGAGGCAGUCACUCCUUAUGCUCGCUUACGUGAAAAAGAUAUAGUUAUAGUAGCCCACCCCGAAGUCACCUCACACUGCUUCUCGCCCUAUCUGUCAUAAAGAGAAAAGCACAACUAUGAGUAACCGGACUUCUUACUCCCAAUAAUAGAAUGUAGGCACAAGUUACAAAGUGGAUACUUCGCCCUCCUAGUCUAACGCGCAACAGGCGAAAGAUUGGAGCUAAGCGAUUCCCUAUCUGAUUCCCUAAUUCAAGUUUAUGUUACCGCCGAACCUUAACCUCUCUUCUCUCCACGAAAAGAAAGGGAAUUCUUAGUUGCUUGUUGGGAUGAAACAAGAACAUCACACCUUUAUUCUUUACCGACGGAGAGCUUCUAUCUAAGACCUCGAUCUACUCACUCACGCAGGGUUUGCACCCACCCCAAGCAAAGAUACUCGACUUGAAACCCAUAUAGUACUCCUAACUCUCCUCAAAGAAUCGAAUUGGAACCGCUCACUCCAAAGCUAACAGCUGAUGAUCCAGCUUUCACGCCUUAUUUGGAACUAGCCUCUGGUCUUUCUUCUCACCUUUAUUCCGCUUCUCUUGAUCCACUUUCACUUCUUUAUUGAGCUACUACUGUUUGUUGGCCCUGUUUGAAGCUACCUAUCUGAUUUGGAUCGCCCGCGCCUGUAAUAGAAGUCCAGUAAACCAUUCAUUGAAUCUAUGUAAACCAUUCAUUGAAUCUAUCGAGCUCCGAGUCAAUACUUUCUUAUUGAGCACAUGGUAUAGGAUUAAGUAAGUACACAACUAACCUUUUGAAUGGAACCGCUUAAACGUCAAUCGAUUUCGAACCUAGCAGUAAAGAGAGUUGGGCCAGGCACAAUACUUAACGCUUCAGUGAAAUAUUCAUUUCAUAAAUCUAUCUAUUGUGCAUAUAACUUAGAAAUUGACACUCUGUCACUUUUGUAACUCACUGACAAACAGUAGAAUUGGAUCUCUCUCGAGCACAGAACUCCCGAAACAGGAGUGAGAGUAUUGCCAACUCACUGAUGCCCGAACACAGGACUUAAUAUAGAAACAGGGUAACCAAAGGGAUAGGUGGCUUACCGAUUAACAGCUUUUUCUCUAGCUUGAGAUUUCAAUCCUGCCUCACUAAGAUCCGGAUUCAGAUACUGCUAUACUUAACCUAACAACAUACCUUUAGCCGACCUAAACUCUCAAGUGACUUAUUGCUGACUGACAUGUAUUAGUAUUACUUAAAUCAAGGGUAUAGGCCACCUCUGAAACAAGAAUAAGCAUUAGUGCCAUUGCUUCUUGAGCAAGUCCUUCCUACAAGUCCUUUGGGUAUUCAUGGCGUCAGUAAAUAGGUGUUUGUUGCCCGGAUUAUUGUAUUGCCCUAAGCCAAAGGUGAAGUAAAAGCGUAAGCACCAACACCGACUUGAAGUGAGAAACCGCUGGCUGUUGACUUUAGAACUGAUCCUGAUACGGCUUGAGACUUUACUCAAACAUCAAUUGAUUCCUUACCUGCUCUAACAGCUUUAUCUGCUCCAUCUUUUGCUUUAGAUUCUGUAGUUUACAACACGGGAACAGCCUCUGAUCCAGCUUCAAAGCCUAUACUUUAUUCCGUCGGAUUCAGCUGAUUCUCUUGGCUAUUCUAGAGCUCACUUGAUAACUGCGUCCUGUAAGAGUUGAGGAAUAGAAGUGAUAUGGAUUAGAUCUGCCUUAGAGUAGGAGCGGGAUCGGGUACUUUGCUACAGGGGUUCCUCUGCGCCAAUUCCAUUCUGUGUUUUAGGGUGACUGUAGUAUAACCUAGUAAUAAAACCGCAAAGUGAAAGUAGGAAAACUUUGAUUCUAUCCUAUGUGGUUUAAUAAUCAAACUGGGAUUCUAGCCGGAUUCCACCCUAAUGGAAAGUUGUGAGAGAUGCUUCUUCAGUGUUGUUUGCCGGAGCAAGACUAAGUAGAGAGAAGUUCGGUGCUUGACGUCGGUGCGAGUGUUGCGGAAUAGUACCAAGGAAGAGUAGAAAGGUCAGAAUCAAUUCGAUCUUAAGCUCCUGUUAGCAGAACUCCCGUAAGCCAUAAAUACAGGACUCCCUACGGGUAGCCAACUAAUAUAUAUUAUGGAAGUGAAUGACUCUCUUCUCUUGGAGAUAACACAGGAAAUUCUUCUUUCAACUGUGGAGCUAACGAAAACAAACGGACUAUUUCUCAAUAUGGAGAAGUCUGUUUAUUGUUAUUGGGAUUGCUCUUUCAGCUCUAUGUUCCAUGGGUGCUACUUCCAUUGAUUCCUUGCCACUCCUUUUUUCUAUCCUAUUGAGUCAUAGGGAUCCCGGAUCUUACACCGAAAUACUAUACCAAGACUUUCCAAAUAAAAGGUUCAUGAGGAACAGAAAUAGACGUUGCUGAUCUCGGGCCUUCUGCUGCUGCCCCAGGGAUAUAGAGGAGCAAAGAAAAGAGGCUUGAAGCACCUUAGAUUGCAUUGCUCACUUGAGAGAAGAAAUAGCCAUGGCGCUGUUGUCCAUAGAGCAUAUGGAGAGAGAACGUGCUCAGGCGGAUCGGAUGAAGCUCUGGGACCGUGGCUUAGGCUGGUAGUAGAUCAGUUGGACUGGCCUCAUUCCCAAGAAUGUAUCAAAUAUAGAGGUAAGGCCGCCCCUUCAUCAUUUCCAGAAGAAAGGCAAGAAGAACCUUUUCUAUGCAAAGGUGGAUAACUGCAACCUGGCCAUAUUGGGGCCAUGAACCGCUUUUCUUUAGUGAAACGAUCCCGUUUUGACGUAACAGUUAAGUGAUAUCAAAUGAGAAAUUCAAACCAAGGCAACGUUUGGACUUAGGCCUUUUGGAAAACAGCCUGUUCACACGUGCGGGACUAAUCAUGACUGCGGCUUUUUGAAACGCUGCGGAUCAAUGAUAGCCGUCGUUUUGUCUUGAUCGAGGCACCUUUAUCUAUCUGGUAAAAGAGGAGAGGAGUCGUUUAGUAAUUAUACAGAAGAAUAGAAUGCUCCGAUCGAAGAAGAGCCUGUCGGCGUUAGAAGAACUGCCGGAGUAGACUCAUAUGUGUGUGUGGACCUACGCUAGUUCCCGGGUCUCAGUUGACCUUUGCUCAUUCCAUUUCUUCAAAGAACUCUUUAGGGCCUAUAUCGUCGGAAAGGAGUUAGGGUUCGGCCCUAUUAUCGUUGAAAUUGAACAUGGAAUUGGAGCUUGACCUUACUUGAAAAUAGCCUCGUUUUUUGGAUGAGAAAGUGGCCCCCCGUUUUGAUUUGAAGUGGUUCUCUAUCUAAGGAAUCGCUUUAAGAGAAAGGAAAGCUGGCAUCUUACCUAGACAGACGGUAGGCUUGCUUAAGAGAUCUAUAUCUUUUGGAUAAAACAAUGAAAUAUCGCGCUUUUCCCAUGGAGAUUGAUCAAUCUUUGACCUAGACUACUCAAAGCACAAGCGCCGACGUUUGAGUUAGAUCGGUUCAGCACGGAGAAAAGAUGGGAUUGAGGAGAAGUCUAAAUCAAACUACUCUGUAAAGCAAUCCGCAUCAGUUAUCGCUCUUCUCUAUAUCCAAUUGUAAGUAAAACCAGAAUGAAUUUCCAUAAGGGUCCUGAAUCUCAUCUAAAAGUCUAUUCGACAUGGAAAGACCCUAGUUUGGCAGACUCCAGUAUUUCCUUGUAAGGUAUAUCCGUUAGUCCUAUCUCAAUGCAAAUAUGCAAUAGCCAUUAUCUCUCGUGCAAUAGCCCUUAUCGAACUGGUCUAACUGCUUGCAAACCUGCUUAGACUCCUUUUCCUAAUAGAAUAGAAUCAUAAGUUCUCAAUUGAUGAAGGAGAACUGCUCGAAGAUCCUUCCAUGUAUAGACGAUUAGUAGGAAGUCUAAUCUACCUGACUAUGACAAGACCGGACAUACAUAGAUAGGCUGUUGGUAUUGUUAGUCAGUUCAUGCGGAAACCGAGGAAAACUCACUUAUAUGCAGCAUACAGGAUACUGAGAGAGGAGGGCUUUCUACUGGUAAAGGAAUCCUCAUUCAUGUCAACACAUCCUCUACGUUGGAGCUAUCGUGUUAUUCAGGCGUGGCCAGAUGUUCUCAGAUGACCGAAAGAAAGUAUACAUCGGGAUUCUUUGUCUUACCGAAAGAAAGUAUACAUUGGGAUUCUUUGUCUUACCGAAAGAAAGUAUACAUCGGGAUUCUUUGUCUUAUUAGGUAAAAGUCUGAGAACGAAAUGGGAGCAACAUAACAUCUGGUUUCCAAAUCAUUUCAAUGGGGAAUCAUUCGUGGUUUCGUUUUUAUGGAUAGAAAGAUAGAUUCUGCAUUUCCAUAUAGAAUUGUAGGUCUUGAAGUUCUUUCUUGAGUCUUUAGUUUCACCUGAUCAGAAAAGGGUGAGAACUUGAGAAAUAAUGAUCCAAUUCAUCAUUGGUGUGAUAGGAACAAAAAAACCAAUUGUUAUAGCCUAGCCACAUCCUUCCUAAGGUAAGAAAAAGCAGAUGAGAAAGCCCCCCUAAGAUGAUUCAUAAAGGAAGUUCAGUUGGGGCUCGUCCUCUCAAUGGCCUCGGGCUUAUUCCCUGACUCUGUAAGUUAUCGAUUUGGCGGAAGACCUUGAUUCAUUUCAUUAUAGGUUUCCGUGCUUUUACCAUGUCUCUAGAACAGUCUUCUCAGAAUUCCAUUUAGAUUUCGAUAUCUCUACCGUGCCUGGCUUCACACGGGAACAGACCGGCUUCUAAGGUUACUCAAAAAGGCUUCUGUCCUUGAGCACUAUACUUUGAUAGAUUCUUUCUUCAAGUCUUCUUUACUAUACUAAUUCUCGAUUGAGGUUUGGUGUGAUUGAACUUGUACCAACCAAUGGUGAAUAUUGAACUUGUACCAACCAAUGGUGCAUAAAGGAAAUAAUAGAUGGGCACCUCCGGCGAUAAGUAAGUUCGUUUCCCUUUAUCUUAGUAAGGAAUUAGCGCUCAACCGUUGUCUAAGAUCCUAAUCCUAGGAAGCAAGAGAUGUUACCUCUUAAGCAGAAGAUGGGCUAAUAGCAAGGCUCAAUCAAGAUCUCCCAUAGCUUGCUCAGCUGGAGGAAUGGCUGGCUCCGAAGGAUUCUUUUGUUGCUCCAUUCUACAGAUAUUAGGUCGCCACUUUUGGAAGAAAGUCUUUGCUUGACUUGCUCAUAACAGAUGGAUUCCCUUUCUAGUUUGUCUUGAACCAGUAAAUGGGAUCUCAUUUCGAGUCGAAGAAGAGAGAAAAAGCUCUGCCCAAGUGGCAACGAAUGCCGAUAAGCAAGUAUACAAGUUUCUUGAUUGGAUUGGAGGUUCAAAAGACCAAUGUCCGAAAGAGGGAUCAGACCGAGGCCUAGGAUUCUAUAUACUCCUCUGGUCUCUCUCGACCGAGUGAACAUGCCCACUACCUUCUACCCUGUCGUCCGUUCUUUCAUAGAAAGGUAUUCAAGGCAACUAAGCGGAUGGUCCGAUCCGAAAUGCUCAAAUUGCAAGCUCCCUUGCUAAGCUUCUUUCACAGGUAGUUUCAGGUCGGCGGCCUUGUCAACGGAAUUCCCCACUCCAUCCUGUGCUACAUCGAAUCAAAAGAUUCAUCCAUCCUGUUUUUCAUUUCCACAACAAGGAUCUUUAUCUCACUAAAGAAACCGGAGGCUGAUACCUGAGAAGUUGAGUUCCCCUAUGGAAUGCCUAGAAGGCCCCAUCUAUGCUACUCAAGCUGGUAGGUCAGGGAAAUAAAUGAAAUAAGCUUCUUCAAUUGGCAUGUGGUAAGCCCAUUUUCUCUGCUUUUGGUUUUUCAUCUAGAAUGCUUUAAGCGGUAUUUCAACAACUCUCAAUCUUGCUCUGGCGGUAUAAGCUUGCCUGUUGCAUUGCUCUUUAAGGAAGUUAGAUCCGCAUUCGUCUAAGCUCACCUGCUGCUGAUGAUACCAAAGAAGUGGAAUAGGGAAGCAAAGAAGGCCAAAUUCAUUCUCCUUUCUAUCUUUCUCAAAUUCAUUCUCCUUUCUAUCUUUCAAAGGAACAGGGGAUUCUCAUGGGGCAGCUAAAGAAUAUAUCUAAAGCGGCGCCCUAAUUGCAUUGCUUAUUAUUGGCUUCGAGUAACCCACCUUUCUCAAGCCAUCUGGAAACUUCCCUUAUACCUUCUACUGUUCUAAGUGCUUUAAAUUCAUAGCAAUAAGGCGGAUUUAGCAUCGUUUAAGGCACCAAGAAGACAGUUAGUUGUGGUUUCAUUCAGUUCAUGGUAUCCAAGGUGUUAGAACAGUAAUAGACCUCUAAUUCAGAACUUCCAGUGGAGAGUUCGGUUGCUCGUUUACAGUAUAGUUCGUCGUUAGGUAUCCCGUAUCAAGUGAUUCUGUUCGAUAGGGUGCACUCGCUAUGUCUUUACUUCAAUCUAUACGUGCAAGAUAAUCAAUGGAGAGUUUGACUCGGUCCAACAAGAACAAGUGUGCUAACUGGAGUUGUUGCCAAUGAAAUUGAUCUGCCAGAAUUCUGAAGUUGACUCGGCGUUACGCUAACAGUCGCUUGAGAAGCAAGUCCUGUUUUUGGGAGUUCUCUUCGAUAUAUUUCUUGCAGCAUAAAAGUGUGAUUUGAUUUGAGCGAAAAAAGAAGGAGCGGGGGCGGCAAUAAAGACAUAAGCUUCAUCCCAUUCUUUGGUGGGCACAUAGGUACUCUAUUCUUAUUCUAUACUAACUACAUAUCUAAAUGUUUUGCUAAAGGUUUUGAAGGCGGAAAGCGAAACAUGAUUCAUUCGCCUCGACGCUUGAGAUCAAUAGUCCCCGUUUUCUUCACACGGAGAAAGAUAGGGAAGGGAGUUCCUUCGGCGGCAGGAAAGAAAGACUGUUAUCCACCAUCUACCCCUUUCUCUUACUGUGAAUAAGACUGAGAACCUCCUUUAUAAGACUGAGAACCCCUUUUAUCUGACGCUAUUCCCCUUUGAUUUAUUGUUCACCCUAUAUUACCCUUUCUCUUACUGUGAACCCUCUAUUAUUAGUAAAGUAGUAAAGCGCCGCAACUGUUCUGCUCUUUCCUACCACUUUAUUGGACUUCGGGGACAACUAGUUUUAUAGGGGGAAAUCCUUAAUUGUUACAAAAUCUCUCUCUAAAGGACACGAAUCUAAUUCAUUUGUGCUAUACUUUCUUCUUUCCUUAGGUGCCGAGCACACAACAAAGAGUUAUCUUAUUUGAGAAUUUGAUCCAUACCAGGUGAAGAAUACCAAGACAUCUCUCGAUUGAAACAUGGGUUUCCUUUCGUUGAGCGUUCAAAAGGCUUUUUUUCGCAUCCCCUUAGCUUUGGCUUGUAAAGCUGAUCCGAGGCGCAAGAAAUAAAUGCACUUGGCGCCCUUUCUUUCAAUGGAUUUAGAUAGUUUUCGUGAGUGGCCGUUCCGCAGUGGAAUUCACUGUCAAUGAGACACCCGUUUUGAUUGCCAUAGGAAUAAUAGUGGAAAUCCGUUUCGACGACAGUUGAUCCACCAAGAAAUAUGCCUGAGUUGGUCCGCCAAGAAAUAUGCCUGGCUUUCGAAAUUGCCUCAAGGAUAUCAACCCUCAGGUUUCUUAUAUACUCCGUUUGUUUUGAAGCCGAAAAACCAAAUAAGUCAUUUGACUCUUUCGGGGGAAUCUUGGAAAUUGAUAUUGGAAUCCCUACUUCCUGCUCUGCUACUACUAUUCCAUUUAUAUUCCAUUCCUACUUCCUGCUCUGCUACUACUAUUCCAUUGAUUAUAUCAUAUAUAUGUCCACUUAUAAGUCCAAUCAAAUAAUAAGUAAUAUGUAAGUCCAAUCAAAUAAUAAGUAAUAUGGGGGUCCAAUCCAAUAAUAAGUAAUAUGGGGGUAUGGGUUCAAUUUCUUUCUUGAGAUGGAGGCAAAGGGAAUGUUUAUUGACUCAUUCCGCUGGGAUUCGCUAAAAGCUGCACUGGAUUUCGCAAGAAGGAUAUGCAGGAGGAAAUGAUUCAUUCCGUUCUAGAGCUAAAGAUUCCAGUGGGUUGCUUCAUUCUUAGUGUUUUUGUCAUUUGCUUUAUUCGGUUCAUUCUUCUUACCUCAAUAGAUUCGUUGAUUAUGAGGAGUUCGGAUUCCCCCGCUAGAACAUCUUCCCUAUCUCUUGCCCUUUUAGUGAGAGCAAAGGAAGGCCUCUCAAAGGAAUGGGGUUAGUUCCAGUGUGAAGUUAAGUCAUAAAGGCAACUAUCAUUAGAUGCUUCAUUCUCAUUCCUUUCAGUUCGCUCGCCCACAGAUCAAUUCGGAGCCCUUUUUCCUUUGAUGGGAAAAUAAUAGUUCCGUUCCACGGAUCCACUCGCCAAUACAUUCCCGAAAUAAUGCAUUCUCUAUAUACCAGCUAAGCUCACCAAUUUGUAUAUACAUAUGAAGUGAAGCAUAACGAGAGAAAGAGCGGAACAGAACUGUAACUCGUAUUCUGUACUCAAGCGCUAUCAUGUAAAGUUCUUUUUAGGGGUAUGGUACUACGCUACGUUUAAAUGCACUUUUUCUUUAACCACUUUUUCACUUAAUAGCUUAUUGCAGAAUAGGCAUAGAGAGAAAUUCACCUCUCUGAUCUAAUAUGUUCUUAGAGUGUUCCAUUCCUUGCCACUUUCUUUUCCUCCUAGUACUUCUAAUUGCAGACUAGUGGUUUCUCUUCACUUUGGAUAAAUCUAGAAUCAUACCGAAGCGAAGACCAACAUUUGCAUUUUCCCGGAACUAAAGGCAUGGAUUGGCUUUCCUUUCAACGCAUUAAAUCUUAUAUCUACACUAUUAUUCAAGACAGCAAACACAACAUGGUUCUGAGAUGCAGAAAACAAGUACCUUUCUAUUAGAAUAGUCUUCAAACAUUUUCUAUUGGGGGAUGGAUUCCGGCUUUCUUUAAUAAUAGGCUUAGUACAUUGGGCUGUAUUCGAUUAGACACCUUGACCAAGAACAACCCCGGUGCCGAAAAACCAAAUGAAGUCGAGAGGAAGAGAUUCGCUUUUUUCUGAAAUUAGCUCCUCGUUUGAAUAUUGGAUAGCUGAGAGAGUGCGAAAACUACUAGUUAUAGCUGAGGAGAGUGCGAAAACAACUGGAAAAGGGCCAUUCCCGAUAAUAUAGAAUAUUGAAGAGAAGUUAUUGGCUGUUGAGCUGGCUGGGUGCCAUAAUCAAGGUAGGUAUACAACUGUCCCGCUGUUGCUCCUUGCCUUAGAGUGGAAUAUGAUUGUAAUCUAGGUUCUGUUGCUAGUUUGCGCUGUGCCCUUGUAGUGUAAGAGUGGUGGCCUUGCCUUCUUUAGCUCCCCUUAGCGAACUACUGAAACGUUAGGAGUUUUUUGAGGGGAGGUUACGAACUCAUACAUAUAAGAUAAAGACAACAAGUAAACAAGUAUCAGAGAAAGGCUUCAAGUCAAUAAGCAACUCGGGGUGCUAAGGGUUAUUGGAGUUUCUAGAACUAGCGCUAGGGAACAAGCUUAGUUGAUUGAGCUCAGUUAGCCGAUUCAGACAGGAAGGACGGACUUGCUCUUGACUGAUAAUAACUCUGUAAGUGAGCUAUAAGCGAGAACAAGCAAGCCGGAGUUAUUGAGUUCGCUAAGAGAAAAGAGGUUGCCCUUUAGAGUAUUUCUAGUGUUGUUACUUUCUUGAGAGUAUUUCCAGUGUUGUUACUUUCGAGUAUUAUGGGUAGUCUACUUAAUUUCAUGAAAUUCCUUAGAGCCAGAGAAAAUGUAAUAGGUUAAGAGUAGGAGCAGGAAGACUAGAUUCAAUUCCAUUCAACAAGCUUUACUUUAGGCAAAAAAGAAUGGGGUUUGCCCUAGUUACGAAGAUAGCUCAAUUCCAUUCUGAAGUACUAUAAGGGGGCUGCUUGUCUUGCUUUGGCUUGAGAAAAGAGCUAGAGAAUCAGUCUAAUAGUAGAAAGUAUAUAUUGGUAUAAUAUAAGAAUAAUUGUAGUUGCCAAAACCCCUGUAUAAAGGACUCAGUAGGUGAACAAAGGAACGAAAAAAGGACUUGAACCAGACUUUAGCACUGCUUAUUCUAGAGUAGACAAGGAGGCGAGACAAGAAGUGUCAUUUCCUGUGUAAGAUCCAGCUUGCCAAACUAUAGAGAAGAUAGGCACCAUUAGAGAGAUACUUCGUCCUUUUUUGUUCAGGCUAUUCUCAUAGUUAACAUGUAGUCCACUAACUAAAUGUAACAGAACAUAUGUUUACCCCUAUAAGCUGUUCAUAUGCCUUUUCCCUAAGAAAGAACAUAACAUUCCAUGACCCUUUCCUAUUGCUGAACCAGACGCCUUUAUUUGUAGUGGCUUGUGCCCCGCACCCUAUACACUCGGAAGAGGCAGUCCGUCCAGAGUCUGACUUCCCCUUAAAAGCAGCUAGUUGUCCUUCUUCAGCGGAAAGGAAAGAGUAGAACAACCAACCAACCGAAUCUUUAUUUACUUAGCCUUCGAUCUAUCUCCUUACUUUAAUAAGUGACUUUAAUAAGAACACAUAAUAUCAUAUCCACAUAGAACUCAGACAUUCCAAAUUUGUUAAUAACAACACAGAACCUUACUCAAGAAAGACUAUUGGGUGACGAAAGAGAAUCUAGUCAAAUGGAAGUAUAUAAGUAAGUCCAGUCCAG